CAAUUUUCAGAUAAAAUUCCUGGUUUUUGUCAAAGGGGCAGAACCUACUAACUGGUAGUUUCAAUGAUGAACUAUCAUGAUAUAGGGCUAAAAUAUGGAUGUGCCAAAUCCACCUCAUGAAAAACAGAUUGGGCAAAAGUGGAGUGCGAACACUAAAUGAUGUGCUGCUAAAUAGCAGAUCUUUACAAGUAAAUUCGGCAAAUCCUGAUGCAACCUGAGCUUACCAAGUUUACUGACAGUUUGGACUCUGUGUGGAUGAUAAUAUGGACAAUAUAUUGUGUUCAUGUUGUGUUGUGAUUGACAUUUUUUAACAGAUAAGAUUUU
Molecule: long non-coding RNA, 324 nt
Organism: Dreissena polymorpha
Lineage: Eukaryota; Metazoa; Mollusca; Bivalvia; Myida; Dreissenidae
Exons: 3
Source: RefSeq, a predicted model, not a curated record